AUUGAACGCUGGCGGCAGGCCUAACACAUGCAAGUCGAGCGAGCGGCGGACAGGUGAGUAAUGUGUGGGAAACUGCCUGAUGUGGAGGGGGAACUACUGGAGACGGUGGCUAAUACCGCAUGCCAUCAGGUAUGCCCCGAUGGGAUUAGCUAGAAGGUGGGGUAAUGGCUCACCUAGGCGACGAUCCCUAGCUGGUCUGAGAGGAUGACCAGCCACACCGGGACUGAGACACGGUCCAGACUCCUACGGGAGGCAGCAGUGGGGAAUAUUGCACAAUGGGCGCAAGCCUGAUGCAGCCAUGCCGCGUGUGUGAAGAAGGCCUUCGGGUUGUAAAGUACUUUCAGCGGGGAGGCGUUACCCGCAGAAGAAGCACCGGCUAACUCCGUGCCAGCAGCCGCGGUAAUAC
This 406-nucleotide ribosomal RNA is filed under the name uncultured bacterium. RNAcentral's name for it is "partial 16S ribosomal RNA". It matches the Rfam family "Bacterial small subunit ribosomal RNA", at positions 29 to 526 of the family's 1533-position model. The record is from RNAcentral.